This 433-nucleotide ribosomal RNA is filed under the name uncultured bacterium. RNAcentral's name for it is "partial 16S ribosomal RNA". It matches the Rfam family "Bacterial small subunit ribosomal RNA", at positions 29 to 507 of the family's 1533-position model. The record is from RNAcentral.
AACGAACGCUGGCGGCAUGCCUAACACAUGCAAGUCGAACGAGACCUUCGGGUCUAGUGGCGCACGGGUGCGUAACGCGUGGGAACCUGCCCUUAGGUUCGGAAGAACUCGCCGAAAGGGGUGCUAAUACCGGAGAAUGUCUUCGGACCAAAGAUUUAUCGCCUUUGGAUGGGCCCGCGUUGGAUUAGCUAGUUGGUAGGGUAAAAGCCUACCAAGGCGACGAGCGAUAGCUGGUCUGAGAGGCUGAUCCGCCACACUGGGACGGAGACACGGCCCAGACUCCUACGGGAGGCGGCAGUGGGGGAUCUUGCACUGUGGGCGAUAGCAUGAUCGUGCUCUGCCGCGUGAGUGCUGAAGGCCUUAGGGUUGUACAGCUCUUUUACCCGGGAUGAUAAUGACAGUACCGAGAGAAUAAGCUCCGGCUAACUCCGUG